CGCCGUCGGGGGCCCCUGGAGCGCCCGCGCCGUCCUGGAGCGCCUGGUCGAGUUCAACACCUGGGUCAGCGAC
Molecule: transfer RNA, 73 nt
Filed under: Streptomyces cyaneofuscatus
Lineage: Bacteria; Bacillati; Actinomycetota; Actinomycetes; Kitasatosporales; Streptomycetaceae
Also listed under: 1 other name
Description: tRNA-Arg(cct)
Source: RNAcentral